AUCCUGGCUCAGGACGAACGCUGGCGGCGUGCCUAACACAUGCAAGUCGAACGAGGCCAUUCCUUCGGGAGUGAGUCGAGUGGCGGACGGGUGAGUAACACGUGAGCAACCUAUCCUUGUGCGGGGGACAACCCGGGGAAACCCGGGCUAAUACCGCAUGGGCCGGAGCUUCGAGUGGAGCGCCGGGGAAAGAUGGCCUCUUUACAAUGCUAUCGCGCAGGGAGGGGCUCGCGGACUAUCAGCUAGUUGGUGAGGUAAUGGCUCACCAAGGCGGCGACGGCUACGGGGUCUGAGAGGACGACCCCGCACAUUGGAACUGAGACACGGUCCAGACUCCUACGGGAGGCAGCAGUGGGGAAUAUUGGGCAAUGGGCGCAAGCCUGACCCAGCGACGCCGCGUGCGGGAUGACGCUUCUCGGAGUGUAAACCGCUGUCAGAGGGGACGAACGGCCGGAGUGGGAAUACUGCUUCGGAUUGACGGUACCCUCAAAGGAAGCGCCGGCUAACUCCGUGCCAGCCGCCGCGGUAAUUC
RNAcentral lists this ribosomal RNA (532 nucleotides) under uncultured bacterium. RNAcentral's name for it is "bacterial SSU rRNA". It matches the Rfam family "Bacterial small subunit ribosomal RNA", at positions 16 to 526 of the family's 1533-position model. The record is from RNAcentral.